CCAGCGAUGGGGAGCGAAACCCAAAAAGCAGUCACAGUUCGGAUUGAAGGCUGAAAUUCGCCUUCAUGAAGCCGGAAUUGCUAGUAAUGGCAGGUCAGCAUACUGCCGUGAAUACGUUCCCGGGCCUUGUACACACCGCCCGUCACACCAUGAGAGUUGGGGAUACCCGAAGCCUGUGAGCUAACUAUUUAUAGGAGCAGCAGUCAAAGGUAGAAUCAAUGAUUGGGGUGAAGUCGUAACAAGGUAAC
RNAcentral lists this ribosomal RNA (248 nucleotides) under uncultured bacterium. RNAcentral describes it as "partial 16S ribosomal RNA". It matches the Rfam family "Bacterial small subunit ribosomal RNA", at positions 1254 to 1500 of the family's 1533-position model. The record is from RNAcentral.